UAAUUUAUUCCAAGCAUAAUUAUACCCUGCACACACCAAAUAGUAUAAGUUGUACUGUCUCGUUCCUGACUUUAUAUUUGGUUUUCAUUUAUUUAUUGCUCAAAGUAAUUAUCUGUGACCCAGACCGGACGCAGACAAAACUUCUCAGUUUUUUGUAAUCUCAGAUAAUAUUACCUACAUGACUUAUCAGUAUAAAAAAAAAUGGAUAACUAAUGAAUUUCAAUAAUCCUUAAAAAAAUAUAAAAACAUUUAUAGUUCUAAUCCUAAAAAAGGUUUACUAUCUAUGUCAUACCUAAAUAGUAGACCAGGAGCAAGACAGAAAAAAACAUUCUUACAAUAAUAUGCGAUAAACUUCUAAAUUAUAUUAUCUUUAAAUACUUCAAAUAAUUUGUAUUAUUAGUACUUAUUAAAGUUGUACUACUACUUAGAAGUUUUUUUCUUUUUUCAUUCGGUAGCUUGCUUGUUACCUAUGCAAGUAUCAAUGUUUAUACCCACGUAAUCUACGUUAUAAGUAGCUAUACAUAAAUACAAUCAUUUUUUAUUUUUAUAUAUGUACCUAUAGUAGAAGCAUACGUUAUAGUGAUCGCUUUCAGUAGGUAUCACAAAAAACAAAAAAAAAAACUUGAAACGAUCAAGCUAUUUAAACAAUAAAUAUUUGAAUCAACCAAAUUACAAUACACGGCUCUUGGACUAUUUUCAUUUCAUACCUAUGUUAAGCCCUGCACUUACUUCAGAUUGCACAACUUCCUGACAAGUAAUACGAUAUUAUUGUUUUCACUGAAUGACGCAAGUUGCGCGACCGCAUCAAUUGGUCUCCGAAAUAUGCUGACUCUAUGGCUAUUGCGUACUGGCGUGACCUCGCCGGAGGCCAACAUGACUGGUUGGGCAUAUGCUUUUUGGAGGUGGUGCAAAAAUUUAAGGUGUUUGAAACCAAAAUGUAAUAACUAUUGUUUUUGCUUCCGAUUUAUAAACAUAAUUAAUCCUACGAACAAAGCUCAUUUUCAUUUUUGUUUUAAAUCAGUACUUGAUACUUAAAUUUAAACACAAGAAAAACUAUAUAAACCUGUAUAUUUAACGAUUUCCCUAAAACUCUUCAGUGCCGAAAUCGUCUUCAGUACCAUCUCGUUACUCUGUGCGUGUUACUCUCUGCGAUCACCUCGCUACUUGUCGCUAGCUUCUCGUCGUAUCCAAGUUCCUGAUAUCGAAAUGUCGGACUCAGAGUUUGAAUAUCCUGGUGUGCCAGUGCCUGUGCAGCUAAGCAAGAAGCAGAAGUCUCCAGCAGGCUCCAAGCGCAAGGCUACGACGAGUUCCAACGAGGCUAGGUCGGACUCAGAGUUAGAAUAUCCUGUGCAGCUGAGCAGGAAGCCGAAGUCUCCAGCGGGCUCCAAGCGCAAGG
Non-coding RNA from Plutella xylostella (diamondback moth), 1396 nucleotides. Lineage: Eukaryota; Metazoa; Arthropoda; Insecta; Lepidoptera; Plutellidae. The record is from RefSeq and is a predicted model, not a curated record.